This 432-nucleotide ribosomal RNA is filed under the name uncultured bacterium. Its description in RNAcentral is "partial 16S ribosomal RNA". It matches the Rfam family "Bacterial small subunit ribosomal RNA", at positions 28 to 506 of the family's 1533-position model. The record is from RNAcentral.
AACGAACGCUGGCGGCAUGCCUAACACAUGCAAGUCGAACGAGACCUUCGGGUCUAUAGGCGCACGGGGGCGGAACGCGGGGGAACCUGCCCUUGGGUUUCGAAUAACUCCCCGAAAGGGGUGCUAAUACAGGAGAAUGUCUUGCGGCCAAUGAUUUUUCGCCUGUGGAUGGGCGCGCGUUGGAUUAGCUCGUUGGUAGGGUAAACGCCUACCAAGGCGACGAUCCAGAGCUGGUCUGCGAGGACGAUCAGCCACACUGGGCCGGUGACACGGCCCGGACUACUGCGGGUUGCAGCAGGGGGGAAAUUCGGACACUGGGCCGACGCGUGAUCCAGCAAGGCCGCGUGAGUGAUGAACGCCUUAGGGUUGGAAAGCUCUUUUACCCGGGAUGAUAUUGCCGGUACCGGGAGAAUAGGCCCGGGUUACUACCGU